ACCUAGGGUUUAGUUCACCAUAACCAUGGUGAAACUAGAUGAAAUAUGAUGAAAGAAUGGAAGAAAUAACCCAAAACUUGGUAGAUUUAAGCCUAAGCAUCCAAAGAUCCUCCUCCAAGGUGUGUGGAAUAGCUCUGGACGUUUCUCUCUGCCAAAAGAAUAUGUUCUGAUUCGCACUGGGGCUAUAUAUAAGCUUAAAAAGAUAACAAAAAGAUUACAGAAUCUAGCUAAUAAAAACAGACAACCGCCCAGGUGCCUAAGUAAACCGCUCAAUGGUUUCCCCUCUAGCCGUUUGGACCGCGCAGCGGUCAGUUUUACCGCUGAGCGGUUUCCCUCUAAUCGCUCUAGACGCUUAGCAGUCCAUUCUGACGCUCAGCGGUUCUCUUGACCCUUCUUUUCAUCAUUUUUCUUCUUCUUUCAUGGGUCUAAGUCCACCUUACUUCACUUCCAUCAUUAAUUCACCUUAAAACCCUGCAAAACAAUGUAAAAACAAACAUAAUAUUUCUAAAACCAACUUUUGACUCUCACAUGACUCAACUAA
This 541-nucleotide long non-coding RNA is filed under the name Vigna radiata. RNAcentral's name for it is "long non-coding RNA (VRAD_LNC004803)". Lineage: Eukaryota; Viridiplantae; Streptophyta; Magnoliopsida; Fabales; Fabaceae. The record is from RNAcentral.